AGCAGCCGCGGUAAUUCCAGCUCCAAUAGCGUAUAUUAAAGUUGUUGCAGUUAAAAAGCUCGUAGUUGAAUUUCGGGAUCAAUAUGUCGGUCGUGCCUUCGGUACGCACUGGUAUCAUUGGUUUCUCCUUUCUGACGAACCAUGAUGUCAUUAAUUUGGUGUUAUGGGGAGUUAGGACUGUUACUUUGAAAAAAUUAGAGUGUUUAAAGCAGGCUUUAGCUUGAAUACAUUAGCAUGGAAUAAUGAAAUAGGACGUUCGAACCUAUUUUGUUGGUUUCUAGGAUCAACGUAAUGAUUAAUAGGGAUAGUUGGGGGCAUUAGUAUUCAAUUGUCAGAGGUGAAAUUCUUGGAUUUAUUGAAGACUAACUACUGCGAAAGCAUUUGCCAAGGAUGUUUUCAUUAAUCAAGAACGAAAGUUAGGGGAUCGAAGACGAUCAGAUACCGUCGUAGUCUUAACCAUAAACUAUGCCGACUAGGGAUCGGAUGAUGUUAAUUUUUUAAUGACUCA
This 508-nucleotide ribosomal RNA is filed under the name Glomus sp. Glo9. RNAcentral's name for it is "SSU rRNA". It matches the Rfam family "Eukaryotic small subunit ribosomal RNA", at positions 569 to 1078 of the family's 1831-position model. RNAcentral also lists the same sequence under 1 other name. The record is from RNAcentral. Lineage: Eukaryota; Fungi; Glomeromycota; Glomeromycetes; Glomerales; Glomeraceae.